CUGGGCGUAGCUCAGCUUGGCAGAGCGCGUGCCUUGGAUGCACGAGGCCGAAGGUUCGAAUCCUUCCGCCCAGA
This 74-nucleotide transfer RNA is filed under the name Phycisphaerales bacterium. RNAcentral describes it as "tRNA-Pro". It matches the Rfam family "tRNA". Rfam says of the family: Transfer RNA (tRNA) molecules are approximately 80 nucleotides in length. Their secondary structure includes four short double-helical elements and three loops (D, anti-codon, and T loops). Lineage: Bacteria; Pseudomonadati; Planctomycetota; Phycisphaerae; Phycisphaerales. The record is from RNAcentral.